Pelobates cultripes (western spadefoot toad) is the source of this 207-nucleotide non-coding RNA. The record is from the annotation of a GenBank genome assembly. NCBI's taxonomy places the organism in Eukaryota, Metazoa, Chordata, Amphibia, Anura, Pelobatidae.
CCCCCCUCACCCCCAUAUACAGAAAUAGAGCAUUUAUUCCAGGCAUGAGACCCAGAGAUUUCAAAGGCCUGGAAAAUGCAGACCUACAAAGAAUUCAUCAACUCUACACAGGUCACGACAUAAUCACCUUCGCUGAAUUACAAACCAGAACAACCCUAACCCCCGCAGAUUUCUUUAGGUACCUCCAGCUAAGACACUAUGCUACCC